This 393-nucleotide unclassified non-coding RNA is filed under the name Hevea brasiliensis (rubber tree). Lineage: Eukaryota; Viridiplantae; Streptophyta; Magnoliopsida; Malpighiales; Euphorbiaceae. The record is from RNAcentral.
UUAACAAACAGAAGAUCAGUACUGAGGAUGGAAACAGUCGCCUUCACAGGAGAUCAUUCUCCAUGGCUAUCAAACGUCAUUCUACAAACAAGUCUUCAUCAUCUUCAUCAUCAUCUGGCACUUCAUCAUCUUCAGGCUCAACAAAUACAAAUGACUUUUAUGGGCUGCCAUUUCUAAAGAGAUGCAGCAGUGUAAAUUUAGAGGUUGAGAAUCCAAUUCAAGAAGCAAUUGCACAUUGCAAGCAGUCUCAGCAGUCGAUAUUCCCAAGAAAGACAGCAACAGAAGUUGGGUUUUACUCAUUGUCAACUUCCAAAAUUGCUAUUUGUGAAGAGCAAGAAAAAACUGAACUUUGCAGAGGCUGAACUUCAAUAAACAGUAAAAAAAAAAAGAAAG